This is a non-coding RNA of Rattus norvegicus (Norway rat), 1165 nucleotides long. The record is from RefSeq and is a predicted model, not a curated record. NCBI's taxonomy places the organism in Eukaryota, Metazoa, Chordata, Mammalia, Rodentia, Muridae.
AGAGAUGGAGUAAAUAAAGGUUUCUCCUGUGUCAUAGGAGACAUAGAUGGAAAAGGCACUCCAGAAACUGGUAAAUGUAAGGAAAGCUGUUUAGAGUUAGGCCAUGGCAUUUCUCAAAGACAUCAUCAUUAGGCCCUCCCUGAAAAGUCUCUAGCAACAUGAAGAUCCCUAUCAUCUUCUGUGAUGUCACAAGUGUUGUUGUGAUAGCAACUGCCUCUCAGAUAUUCCUUCGUACCUCUAGGGUUUACUAAUUGGCCCCUCAUUCAGAGUAAACAGCCAUUUAAAAGGGAGAACAAAGAGGAUGAAAAGAUCAGAUAUGGGGAGAACGAAGGAAGCUGACCUUCUGUCUUGUUAAAAAAAAAGGAAGAAAUUCAUGGUCCUUGGUACAGCUCAGUGAGUACUUGUAUAUGUGAGUGGCAGGAACAGGAUAGAAGGAGUGUUACCAUGGGAGGAGAAGGAAGAAUGGACGUGAGAGAUGUUUGAAGGAAGAGGAGGAGACUAGAUGGAAAAAGAGAGAAAGGAAGAUGACAGAGUGAGAAGCCAUGAGCAAACAGCAAUUUGGGAGCGAGAACAAAGAGGAUGAAAAGCCCGGAGAUGGAGAGAAUGAAGAUGGCCUUCUGUCUUGAUAUAUAGAAAAGGAAGAAAUAUGUCGACCCUGGGAAAUCUGACUGAGUCCUUGGUAGGAGUUGAGUAGGUACGUUGAAGAGAUAGAAUUAAUCUGAGCCUUCCACCCAUGGGAUCAGAAGCUUGGAGCCUGUCAGAAUCAUCUGGAAUUCCCUGCUUCUAGUGGUUCCUGUUAGUCAGGGAGUUUAUAUCAUUAAUAUCUCCAUCCGUGUCACACCUACCUCGUCCUGCAAGGAAGAAGCAACACCGUCGGAUCCUUCUUACCACCCUUUAUUGCAGGACCCCACCUCAUUUUGCUGAUACGGGGACCUCAAGCAGCAAGAGCGCUCGUCUUAUAUAGACAGCAGGCUGAGGGUAUGCUAAUUGUCCUUCAGGGAUUGGCGGAGCAGUAAUCACCUCAUGAGCAUGGUACUGCUCCCUCAUUAGCGUAUUGCUGGCCAACUGAUGCCAUGUGCAAAGCCUGCACAUGCACAGUAUCCUGGUUCACCACAGGAAGGCUCCCUACAUCUCUCCCUUUUUUGUUUAAUAAAAUGACUCUUCU